Molecule: ribosomal RNA, 256 nt
Filed under: uncultured bacterium
Lineage: Bacteria
Description: partial 16S ribosomal RNA
Rfam family: Bacterial small subunit ribosomal RNA
Source: RNAcentral
UACGGGGGGAUGCAAGCGUUAUCCGGAAUUAUUGGGCGUAAAGCGUCCGCAGGUGGUUGUGCAAGUCUGCUGUUAAAUCGUGGGGCUUAACUCCAUAACGGCGGUGGAAACUGCACAACUUGAGUUUGGUAGGGGUCACGGGAAUUCCCAGUGUAGCGGUGAAAUGCGUAGAUAUUGGGAAGAACACAUAGCGGACGAAAGCGCGUGACUGGACCAAAACUGACACUCAUGGACGAAAGCUAGGGGAGCGAAAGGG